This 355-nucleotide ribosomal RNA is filed under the name uncultured bacterium. RNAcentral's name for it is "bacterial SSU rRNA". It matches the Rfam family "Bacterial small subunit ribosomal RNA", at positions 527 to 881 of the family's 1533-position model. The record is from RNAcentral.
GUAGGGUGCAAGCGUUGUCCGGAAUUACUGGGUGUAAAGGGAGCGCAGGCGGACCGGCAAGUUGGAAGUGAAAACUAUGGGCUCAACCCAUAAAUUGCUUUCAAAACUGCUGGCCUUGAGUAGUGCAGAGGUAGGUGGAANAAANAANAUAGCGGUGGAAUGCGUAGAUAUUGGGAGGAACACCAGUGGCGAAGGCGACCUACUGGGCACCAACUGACGCUGAGGCUCGAAAGCAUGGGUAGCAAACAGGAUUAGAUACCCUGGUAGUCCAUGCCGUAAACGAUGAUUACUAGGUGUUGGAGGAUUGACCCCUUCAGUGCCGCAGUUAACACNAUAAGUAAUCCACCUGGGGAGU